CAGGGAUUGCCUCAGUAACGGCGAGUGAAGCGGCAACAGCUCAAAUUUGAAAGCUGCCAACAGGCCGCGUUGUAAUUUGUAGAAGAUGCUUUGGGUGUCGGUCCAGUCUAAGUUCCUUGGAACAGGACGUCAUAGAGGGUGAGAAUCCCGUACGUGAUUGGUGCCGGCGCCCGUGUAAAGCUCUUUCGACGAGUCGAGUUGUUUGGGAAUGCAGCUCAAAAUGGGUGGUAUAUUUCAUCUAAAGCUAAAUAUUGGCCAGAGACCGAUAGCGCACAAGUAGAGUGAUCGAAAGAUGAAAAGCACUUUGGAAAGAGAGUUAAACAGUACGUGAAAUUGUUGAAAGGGAAGCGCUUGCAACCAGACUUGCGGGCGGUCGAUCAUCCGAGGUUCUCCCCGGUGCACUCGAUCGUUCUCAGGCCAGCAUCGGUUUCGGUGGUGGGAUAAAGGCUGUGGGAAUGUGGCCCUUCGGGGUGUUAUAGCCCACGGUGCAAUGCCGCCUACCGGGACCGAGGACCGCGCUUCGGCUAGGAUGCUGGCGUAAUGGUUGUAAGCGACCCGUCUUGAAACACGGACCAAGGAGUCUAACAUCUAUGCGAGUGUUUGGGUGUCAAACCCAUACGCGUAAUGAAAGUGAACGGAGGUAAGAGCCCUUUAGGGUGCAUUAUCGACCGAUCCUGAUGUCUUCGGAUGGAUUUGAGUAAGAGCAUAGCUGUUGGGACCCGAAAGAUGGUGAACUAUGCGUGAAUAGGGUGAAGCCAGAGGAAACUCUGGUGGAGGCUCGCAGCGGUUCUGACGUGCAAAUCGAUCGUCAAAUUUGCGUAUAGGGGCGAAAGACUAAUCGAACCAUUGGGACACUACUAGGUGGUUAAGAGAAAUGUGAAUCUAGUCCGCGGUGCGGGCGACACUCUCAAAUUGCGGGGACGUCCUGCUACUUCGCAGCUACCGCAGCCGUACCGAAAGGGCGGCGCGCACCGGUCCGUUACGGGGCCGGGGAUGGUAAUAACGCUGGCGAUAGGGAUGAUCCGCAGCCAAGUCCUACGGGCGGUACGCCUACGGACGCAGUUCACAGACUAGAUGUGAGUGGGCUCCUCGAGCU
Molecule: ribosomal RNA, 1096 nt
Filed under: Mollisia sp. 205
Lineage: Eukaryota; Fungi; Ascomycota; Leotiomycetes; Helotiales; Mollisiaceae
Description: eukaryotic LSU rRNA
Rfam family: Eukaryotic large subunit ribosomal RNA
Source: RNAcentral